Molecule: long non-coding RNA, 1393 nt
Filed under: Hordeum vulgare subsp. vulgare (domesticated barley)
Lineage: Eukaryota; Viridiplantae; Streptophyta; Magnoliopsida; Poales; Poaceae
Description: 72HASATSHOOT
Source: RNAcentral
GGUCCUUUCUCUGCGGUGCUCACCGUUCAUUCCUCCAUGCACACCUUCUUUCCUCCGAUGGUUCAUUACGUUCCUUCAUGUUCGAAUCCCUCUCGGCUCCGCUCAUCCUGGGCUCUCUCAGGGUCAGUAAGGCCUGGUAGAUCAUUCUCACCCUUCUGGACAAUCACCAAGUUGAUAACAGACAGGCCUUGGCUGACAAUGCAACCACGGACGGACUUUCUCCUGCGCUCACCAUUACGCCUGCAAAAACCACGGAGGCAAGGUGUGCCCCUCUGAAGCAGAAGGCGGACACGCCCAGAAGUGAGCACUCCUGGCUUCAUCGGGAAACCCUGCUUAUCAAAGCCACCCAGGAUCUUGAAGAUAUAACCCUUGAUUUCCUCACCCGGAAGAUCACCAACUACCUCCAGGAAAGAGUGUGACAAGGAGGAAGGAAAGUUACCAAGGAGGAAACAAGGGUAACAAGGAAGAAAGAAGGGGAGCAAGAAGGAAAGAAGGUGACCAAGGGUGAAGAAAGGUGACCAAGGAGGAAAGAAAUUCCGCAAGGAGCAAAGGAGGUGAGCCAAGAGGCAAAUGGGUGAUUAACGAAAGAACACGCCGGACACAUCAGUAAGAGGUGAUGCAAAGCUCGAGUAUCGCGUCCCGAGUACUAAGAAUGGACUCCUGCGAGUAGCACGGGUAUGACAGACAGCGUGACAUCCACUUCGGAAACAAAAAGCGUAGAAAAUUGCGAGAUUUGAACGCUUGUGAAUUGGCGAAUGCCCCGUCCGCUGACGCGUAAUAAGUACCGAUUGCUUUAUAUUCCGCCAUCCCCGUGCCGUCUCGACAGCAGGGGUAAUGGUACUGACUACAGGCCCGGAGGGGCAUUGCCCUGCGCGUGGCGGGCCCGGGGCAGUGGCAAUAUCCCGGUCGGUAAUUUUAACUUCCCUUUUUGAGGGAGUGCAAUUCAAAUUCUAGGGGAUUCGAUUUUUUUUUUUUUGGUAUAGGUAAAAAACUGGGGGGGUUUCCUACCUUUAUCCCCCCUUGAUUCCCUUUCCCCCGUUUUGGGCGGCCAGGGGGUAAAGAAUGCGAAAAAGGCCUGGUCUCUUUUUUCACAUUUUCCCACCGGGUUUGGGAUGGCCCUAGUUUUUAUGGGGGGUUUUUAUUGGUGUUUGACCCGAUAAAAACAAUGAGGGUGCUGAUGUCUUUUUUUUUUUUUCUGUUUUUGAAUAACCAAAGGGAGGGCUUUUUUGUGGCGCGGGUCGCGAGGUGGAGAUGAAGGGAGGGGGGGAAUUCUCCCCCGGCGGGCCGCGGGGUACCUUAUUUUUUGGUCCUUGUUGUUGCGAAUGAAAAAAGGUUUUCUCCACCUGUGAUGAAGAAGAUUUUUUUUUUUUCUAUUGGGGCGGGUGGGGGUGUU